GGGUGAUUGAUUGUGACAGAAAUACCUUGUGUGAGAAUUUGAGCCACUUGACAUUCUUUCUUAUGUGUGAUAUGUCUCUUGAUUGCUUGCACUUAUGCCUUGGCUUGACUCUUGUUGAUGAUUCUUGAUUGAUAUGCAUGUUUGGAAGUGAUAAAGGCAAUUUUGUUGUUGAGCUUCUCUAGCCAAAUGAGCCUACCUUGUUGUGAUCCUUUGAUAGCCCCCUUUGAGCCUAUAUUUUCCCCAUUUCUUUGUUUUGAAGCUCAUACACUAGCCCUAACUGAAAAACCAUGAUUACCUUAACCUUAGGGAAUUUUGGAGCUUUGGAAUUGUUUUGGGAAUAAGUGUGGUCUCUUGGGAGAUUAAGAUGAAUUGGCUAGUUGGUUCCUCUUCUUAUUUGUUUUGUAAAUAUAUGCGUAUCUUGUCUCUUGGAGUUUUGUCUAAAAAGAGAGAAAAGAAAAUAGACAAGAUGAGAAAAUAAAAAAAAAUACAAAAAAAAAUGAAAAAAAAUUUAAAAAAAAAAUUGUGUGAAUAAUGGAGUCAAGAAGAGGAUUGAAUUAUAGGUUUUGGGUGCUAUUUGAAUGUGUUUACACUUGUUCCCCAUUGCUCCUCUAUUUCUUUUGGUUUGCAGCUUCUUAUCCAUAUUUAUCCUCCCUUUUCCUUGGCCCCAUUACAUCCAUAAAAGACCUUUUGAUUUGAACAUGCAUAUGUUUU
This 711-nucleotide long non-coding RNA is filed under the name Vigna radiata. RNAcentral's name for it is "long non-coding RNA (VRAD_LNC008766)". The record is from RNAcentral. Lineage: Eukaryota; Viridiplantae; Streptophyta; Magnoliopsida; Fabales; Fabaceae.